GGUAGCAAAGGGAAUAAUUAGGGCACCAAUAUAGAUGAAUUGAGAUGAAUGAUAAAAAUCUCCAUUCCUAUUGGUCAAAAAACAUGACCAAAGGGCUUUGAGGAGGCUGCCCGAAGCCAUAUUAGAGAUUAGGGUUAGUUUUUCGGGGCCAUUCGAACUUUGAAGGCUAGGAUCAUCAAGUUUAGGAUUUUGGCUAUGGUUUUGGUGCAAGUUUUGUAUGGUUUGGAGUUUAUAUGAAGGAGAUACAAGUACUCAAAGUUAAGGUGUUGAUAUGGAAGCUACUGUCACUCUUUUUUGCAUAACGCACGCAUACGGAUAGCAAUUGAGGAUCGGUGACUGCAAUUAGAGAGAGCGUUUUUGCGGCUACACUUUUUAUAUACUGCUUACUGGAUUCUAAGUUGAAGUGAAGGAGUUAUUGGAUUUUAAACUUAGCACAUGCAAUCUAAGGGUAGUAAGUGAUCCAAUUUAUUAGUGAUUGUCUCUUGAGCUAUAUCUUGAGCAAUUUGACAAGGUUUUGGCUCAA
Molecule: long non-coding RNA, 523 nt
Filed under: Physcomitrium patens
Lineage: Eukaryota; Viridiplantae; Streptophyta; Bryopsida; Funariales; Funariaceae
Description: long non-coding RNA (PPAT_LNC007992)
Source: RNAcentral